UUGCUUUUUGUGACAUUUUGUCAUUUGGGGGGCUCACCUUCGUGACAAACCGCCUCCGAUUCAACCUCCCCAGUCCUGGGAUUGAUAAUUCGUAUCUUUUUGUCUUUGCAAGUGGUCAAUAGUUGGGAUCCGUCCCAAUUAAAGCAGGCACUGUAGACGAUAUCAGGGUGACAAUCAAUUUUGACUAGGGCUUCGCCGGUGCCUGAAAUUGGGCAAUGUUAGGUUCGGUUGAGUUUUGGGGUUUGUGGGGGGGCUUACCGACGUUCCAAAUAACCACUUGAUUGUCACUCCCGGCGGUUAGAAGUACAUUGAGGGCUGUGGGAUGCCAGAGGACUAGCCCCACGCGUCUUUGGUGAUAGAUGAGGUCGACGACCGGUUCGGUGAGAGUCUUGAUGAGCCCCCCGUCAGAAACGCGAAGAUCCGUAUCCGUCUCGAACGCGAACUUUCCGAAGUCUAACACAAGAACAAGGAACUUCAACAGUCGUCCGAACGUCUAAAAAUGGGACUUUUAUACGCCCGAAGUGACCUGAAUGGCAUCUCGGAAGAAGAUGAAGACAGCGAUGGCGGUGUCUAAGUCUCUUCAGUACAUUUUACCAUAUUCUGUAUUAUAAUUUCACUGUUGUUUAAAUAUAUUGUUUAAAAAUA
Molecule: long non-coding RNA, 645 nt
Organism: Tribolium madens (black flour beetle)
Lineage: Eukaryota; Metazoa; Arthropoda; Insecta; Coleoptera; Tenebrionidae
Exons: 2
Source: RefSeq, a predicted model, not a curated record